UGAAUUGUAAUUGGAGUUGAUGCUGGCAGUGGCUGCAUGUGCUCGCUCCUAACAAUCUUCAUCCAAACACCUGUGCACAUUUAGAGAGGGUCUCCGAGUUCUCCUUGGAGUCCCUUCCUCUCAUUAUACACUAGUUUUUAAUAUUGAACGUGAUUGUGCCGUGAGGCCUUAAUAUUAAUACAACUUUUAACAACGGAUCUCUUGGCUCUCGCAUCGAUGAAGAACGCAGCGAAAUGCGAUAAGUAAUGUGAAUUGCAGAAUUCAGUGAAUCAUCGAAUUUUUGAACGCACCUUGCGCUCCCUGGUAUUCCGGGGAGCACGCCUGUUCGAGUGUCGUAAAAUUCUCAAACUGGGAUGCUUUUUUGUUUCUCGGCUUGGUGUUGGGCUUUGCAGUUCCUUUGAUUGGGAUAGCUGGCCUCAAAAGCAUUAGCUGGCUUUUCAUGUGGCAUUGGUUCUACUCAGCGUGAUAAUGAUCUGACCGCCGAGGACAUCUUUCGGGAUGGCCAAUUCUCAUUUGGGCUGCUUCUAAUUUUGGUAGAGCGGAUUCUGAAUCUGUUCCACUUUUCAGCUUUUGACCUCGAAUCAGGUGGGACUACCCGCUGAACUUAA
Molecule: ribosomal RNA, 608 nt
Filed under: uncultured Clavulina
Lineage: Eukaryota; Fungi; Basidiomycota; Agaricomycetes; Cantharellales; Hydnaceae
Description: eukaryotic LSU rRNA
Rfam family: 5.8S ribosomal RNA (bases 182-335)
Source: RNAcentral